GUGUAAGCGCAGCGAUGCGUUGAGCUAACCGGUACUAAUGAACCGUGAGGCUUAACCUUACAACGCCAAAG
Molecule: ribosomal RNA, 71 nt
Filed under: Cronobacter sakazakii
Lineage: Bacteria; Pseudomonadati; Pseudomonadota; Gammaproteobacteria; Enterobacterales; Enterobacteriaceae
Also listed under: 1 other name
Description: partial 23S ribosomal RNA
Source: RNAcentral